Molecule: unclassified non-coding RNA, 345 nt
Filed under: soil metagenome
Description: partial contains 5.8S ribosomal RNA, internal transcribed spacer 2, and large subunit ribosomal RNA
Rfam family: 5.8S ribosomal RNA (bases 1-120)
Source: RNAcentral
GAUGAAGAACGCAGCGAAAUGCGAUACGUAAUGUGAAUUGCAGAAUUCAGUGAAUCAUCGAGUCUUUGAACGCACAUUGCGCCCCCGGGUAUUCCGGGGGGCAUGCCUGUCCGAGCGUCAUUGCUGCCCUCAAGCACGGCUUGUGUGUUGGGCCUCCGUCCUCCUCCCGGGGGACGGGCCCGAAAGGCAGCGGCGGCACCGCGUCCGGUCCUCGAGCGUAUGGGGCUUCGUCACCCGCUCUUGUAGGCCCGGCCGGCGCUUGCCGACACAUCAAUCUUUUUUCCAGGUUGACCUCGGAUCAGGUAGGGAUACCCGCUGAACUUAAGCAUAUCAAUAAGCGGAGGA